Non-coding RNA from Lolium perenne, 461 nucleotides. The record is from RefSeq and is a predicted model, not a curated record. NCBI's taxonomy places the organism in Eukaryota, Viridiplantae, Streptophyta, Magnoliopsida, Poales, Poaceae.
UCCGGACUGCAAACGAGUCCAAAGUUUAAUGGGUUGACUUUGGGAAAUUCAAGGAAACCACACCUGACCAUCCACAGCAAGACACUUUGUAUGACUGUGGAUUCUACAGCAUUCUUUACAUGGAGCACUUCAAUGGGAAAGUCAUGCCAAAUUUCGAGAAUGAUGUAGUUCCAGAUUUUCGAAGGUUGCUCGCAGCAAGCCUAAUCGACAACAGGGAUAACCAGAGUGAUGAUGUCGACGUGAUAAUGAACGAGGAUUUGCAGCAGGGAUAGUUUAGCUUUUUGUUCAAAACACAUGGUGUUGCUGCCUUUUGUAACUGUAACCAUGUACUGGAACAUGGAGUAGAACUAGGCUUCUGGUGAUGGUUCUAUAUGUUGGACCUGUUAGUUGAAUGAUCAGUUCUUUUUAUGUUUUUCUCAGUACAAUCUACCAGAUAUAAGUUUAAUGUUGGCUCUGGAAUA